GAUGAAGAACGCAGUGAAAUGCGAUAAGUAAUGUGAAUUGCAGAAUUCAGUGAAUCAUCGAAUCUUUGAACGCACAUUGCGCCCAUUAGCAUUCUAGUGGGCAUGCCUGUUCGAGCGUCAUUUCAACCCUUAAGCCCUGUUGCUUAGCGUUGGGAGCCUACAGUACUGUAGCUCCCCAAAGUUAGUGGCGGAGUCGGUUUCACACUCUAGACGUAGUAAAUUUUUCUCGUCUGUAGUUGAGCCGGUCCCCUGCCGUAAAACACCCAAUUUAUCAAGGUUGACCUCGGAUCAGGUAGGAAUACCCGCUGAACUUAAGCAUAUCAAUAAGCGGAGGA
This 335-nucleotide unclassified non-coding RNA is filed under the name soil metagenome. RNAcentral describes it as "partial contains 5.8S ribosomal RNA, internal transcribed spacer 2, and large subunit ribosomal RNA". The stretch from base 1 to 120 matches the Rfam family "5.8S ribosomal RNA", at positions 35 to 154 of the family's 154-position model. The record is from RNAcentral.